UGAAACUAACCACACGCCUCUUCAUCUUCCUGCUCAGUUAAACCCUUUAUGAAGCCAGUUAAAGCAAAAUUGAUUGCAAUCAUCCUACCAGUUUUCAUAAAUCAUGGAUUCUUCAUUCCUUCCGGUUCCGUUCAAUACACAACAACCAAACCACUGCUGCUCUAUUCCUUGUUGCGACGCAGGAGACCGGGUGCGAACCAACGAGCCACCGCCGGCCUCCUCUGCCGCGAACCAACCACCUUCCGGAGCCGCCGCCAGCUUCACUCUUCAAUUGCCUUCACUUUCGGGUGGCUUGGAAUUCCUGAAGAAGAAGUCUGCCAUUGAAAAUCAUCAAUUGAAACGACCAGAAACCGCUGUGUCCAUUCAAAUUCCCAUCAUCACCUCAAUUGUUUUGGAAAUUCAUCAAUUGAAGACGCAAAUUCAAGGUAUCUUCUGUUUCGAUUACCCACAAUUGAUGGCCUUUGGAAAGAAAUUCAUCAGUCAAGGCUUUAUGGUACCUGGUCUCUCUAUCUAACAACGUGGCUCCAUGAAGGAUCCUUGUAGGCCGAGAGAUGCAGUUGAGUUGUGCAAAAAGGCUUGUGUGAAGAUUGUAGUCUGACAUUGGUCUAGCUAUGGAAAUCCAAGGAACUGAAGUUGCGAAAGAAAACAGUGAUAUUAUCAUAUUGGAUGAUAACGGGUCCACAUAUGAGGAAGCAAGCACCUUUAUUAAACACAUUGGAAUAUCAUAUUUGUCAAGAGGAAGGUUCAACUGAUACUUUAGAGAUACCAUGUUCCUACAAUAAGCUUUGCUGGCCCUUGUUCUAUAAUCAUAGAAUCUCCGGUGUUCAAAAAAAAAAAAAAACAGUUACAAUGGAUUCUUAAGCUGCAAUACAAAAACCCAAUAUGCAGAGCCUUUGUCUAUAUUAAAGAAACGAUCAUGCAGUUGGAGUGAUUAUUAUGAAUGGAGAGGCAUCCCUUUAGAUUCGUCCGUUGCUCUUCUUCUUCACUGGCCGUUGACCAUAUAUCAAGCCAUUCAACUUGCUUUUGCUAAACAGCCGAUCAUUGAAACUACAGAUAAACUUUGCAUACACUACCUAGGGCCAGAGAGGGAACUUUAUCAAACCGCUGUCUUUGGGGAGUUGCAUGCUCUUCUUCCUGGAGUCCAACUGCAUAUAGAUUUUGUGGGGCCCGCAGUUCCACAUGACAGGUCAGCAUUACAUGUUGCUAAGAAAUAUGAUUUGUUGAUAAGAAAAAGGUAAAACGUACAUAUAGUGGCCUGGCUUGCAAGUUCAAGACAACCUAUCAUUGUUAUGGUCUGUGCAGUUAAUAGUGGUGGGAUAGCGGCAUAGUUAUUAAUAGUGAAUAGCGGACGAUAGUGACAAGCUACCUAUAGGUGUUAAAUAAGGUUUUUUGUGCUGGAAAUUUUGUGUAGAUUAGGAACUGAGGUUGGUUGGUAGUUUGAGAAAAGUGAUUGUAAUAUUGGUUGAAAGAUGGAGUUGUUGAAUGUGUGUUUGGUACGGGUAGUAAAAAGGUUUGGUAAUGUUUAAAGUAAGGGAAAGAGUAGCUGGAAAAGCCGCAGUUUGGAAAUGGAAGGUGUAAUUUGUGCUUAUGUAAUUUGUUGCUCUUGAUAAGGAUAACUGGAUAAGUAGGUGGUUGCUGUUAGUUCUGAUAUCUUGAUAUACUGUGUUAAAUUCAGGGAAUUAUGUGUUUUAAUUACUUGACUGGAUCUUGAAAAUCUAAUUUUGUAACUGCUUUCGUCUUUGCCUAAAAUACGGAUGAUUAAGAACCGAGAAUUGGCUGCUCGAUCACAACCUUGAAACUGGGUUUUUAUAAAGUUCGCCUAAGGCGCGAUUAGGCGCGAGGCGCACUAAGCCGCAUGCCUCAGCGCCUCAUGUCACCCAAGGCGCGCCUUUCUAACAAAGCGCAAAAAACACAAUUUUUGGAUUUUUUUUUUUGGGUCUAAGGCGCGCUUUGAGUACUUUGGGGUGUUUUUAUGCAUCAAAGAGUUGUACAAUAGGUUUUUUGGCUUGCAAAUGUAGGUAAUAUAUAAAUCUUAUUUAUAAAAGUAACAUAUGUUUGCAUGUACUUGAAUGUAAUCCUGAACUUGAAAUGUUGUCUAUUAUCUCUUUUGAAAAUUUGAACUGUGUACUAAAGUUUUGGAAGGUGAGUUGUCCAAUCACAAAUGCCCUAAAUAUUGUUUAGUUAAAAGCUCCCAAGGUGCAUGUCAGAUGCUCAAGCAAGGCGAGAAGCUUCAAAGGUGCGACUGAGGUGCACGCCUUAAACAAGGCGCAGGCAAGGCAACAACACAUGAUUUUGAUUGUUUCAACUUUUUUCAUCUAAGAUAUGACCAUUUGGUUGAUGAUGAACAACAAAUCUUCCUUAUUUUUUUGUGAAUUGUUAUCUUUCUCUAAUUCUAUUGUAUUCUUUAUUUUACUUGUGCCUUGUAAAAUGGUACUAUUUUUUUGUU
Molecule: RNA transcript, 2446 nt
Organism: Helianthus annuus (common sunflower)
Lineage: Eukaryota; Viridiplantae; Streptophyta; Magnoliopsida; Asterales; Asteraceae
Exons: 7
Source: RefSeq, a predicted model, not a curated record